ACUCGAGUGGCGAACGGGUGAGUAACACGUGGGUGAUCUGCCCUGCACUUCGGGAUAAGCCUGGGAAACUGGGUCUAAUACCGGAUAGGAGCCACUUUUAGUGUGAUGGUUGGAAAGUUUUUCGGUGUAGGAUGAGCUCGCGGCCUAUCAGCUUGUUGGUGGGGUAAUGGCCUACCAAGGCGGCGACGGGUAGCCGGCCUGAGAGGGUGGACGGCCACAUUGGGACUGAGAUACGGCCCAG
RNAcentral lists this ribosomal RNA (241 nucleotides) under uncultured Actinomycetales bacterium. Its description in RNAcentral is "partial 16S ribosomal RNA". It matches the Rfam family "Bacterial small subunit ribosomal RNA", at positions 89 to 334 of the family's 1533-position model. The record is from RNAcentral. Lineage: Bacteria; Bacillati; Actinomycetota; Actinomycetes; Actinomycetales.